GUAGAGAUGCCAGAAAAAUUUAAUGGGGUUAGUUUAGGAUUAAUUUAUGACUUUUAAAGUCUCUCUAUU
RNAcentral lists this transfer RNA (69 nucleotides) under Taenia asiatica. Its description in RNAcentral is "tRNA-Leu". Lineage: Eukaryota; Metazoa; Platyhelminthes; Cestoda; Cyclophyllidea; Taeniidae. The record is from RNAcentral.